CAUUCCAUUUCCAGCAACCCCUUCGUUACCAAUGAAAACCAAAUUCCACUUGCCAGUUGCCGUCCAUUUCGAAACCAACGAACGGUCUCGAUCCAUCCAGUUCUUCUCCAGCUCCUCCAGCUCCUCCUCUUCCUCCUCCGUCGUUACUCCAUUUUAAUGGCCGUUCCUUGAAUUUCCAUUUCUCUCUCUCAUUACUUUACAUUGCCACUAUAAUACGCCAUUCAUUCAACCACCGUAUACUUGAUCUUUUCUUUUUUUUUCCCUUUCUUCACCAUACCCAUUUUCUCUCUUUUCGCUUUUCACACCCCUGGGCCCGGUUUCCUUUUCAACUUCGAUCAUCGCUCUCUCGCCGUUUUCUUCAGGAUGGGAGGAGUUCACUUAAUCUUCGCAUGUGGUUUCAAUGCCAUUUUAGGGUUAGCGAUGUGACGAGAGAGAGAUUGAUUGAUUUCUUUUCGGUUUUUUGGCAUUGUUUUCUACUUAAGUUUGUUGUGAUUUUCGUUUGGAGUGAAAUGUGAGGAAAUGUCUAUUUCAGAAUGCGACUGCCAGAUGUAAAAUGUGUUAUAGAUUGUUGUCAAGGCGUUUAGGUAAAAUUGGACCCAAGGAACUCCAUCUGAUUGUUUAUUGAGUAUUGUGGAAAUCAAUGUCUGCUCAAAAUGCCCAGCAUCAGAGCACCCGGAGCGAAGAAAUCCACGACUCUGACUGUUGCAGUGAAAUGCCGUCCUCUAAGGGAGAGAGAGCGUGGCCGUGAUAUUGUCAGAGUAAUUGAAAGCAAGGAGGUGCUUAUCCUCGAUCCUGACCUGUCGAAGGAUUACCUCGACCGCAUACAGAACCGAACGAAGGAGAAACAAUACUGUUUCGACCAUGCAUUUGGUCCAGAAAGUACUAAUCAGGAAGUCUACACAAAAAGUAUAUCUUCCAUAAUACCUGGAGUUGUUCAAGGUCUGAACGUGACUGUCUUUGCCUAUGGCUCAACUGGAAGUGGUAAAACAUACACAAUGGUUGGGACCAAAGAUGACCCUGGACUCAUGGUGCUCAGUUUGCAUACUGUAUUCGAUCUUAUAAAAAAGGACAAGCGGUCUGAUGAAUUUGAAGUUACUUGCUCAUAUCUUGAAGUCUAUAAUGAAGUAAUAUACGAUUUGCUUGAAAAAUCAUCUGGUCAUUUAGAACUUAGAGAGGAUCCUGAGCAAGGAAUAACUGUUGCUGGGCUUAGGUGUAUCAAGGUUCGUUCUGCAGAUAAAAUUCUUGAACUUUUGAACAUGGGUAAUAGUCGAAGGAAAACAGAUUGCACAGAGGUAAAUGCUACCUCUUCAAGAUCACAUGCAGUUUUGGAGAUUAGUGUGAAAAGAAAGCAAAGAAACAAAUAUUCAAAUCAGGUCUUGCAUGGGAAACUUGCACUUGUAGAUCUUGCUGGUAGUGAACGGGCUACUGAGACAAAUAAUGCUGGCCAAAAAUUGAGGGAUGGAGCUAACAUUAAUCGUUCACUCCUUGCUUUAGCAAACUGCAUAAAUGCGUUGGGAAAACAACAGAAAAAAGGUCUCGCUUAUGUCCCUUACCGGAACAGUAAAUUGACACGAAUUUUGAAAGAUGGUUUAAGUGGUAAUUCUCAGACUGUGAUGAUUGCUACGAUAUCACCUGCAGAUGUUCAGUAUCAUCAUACUGUGAAUACGUUGAAAUAUGCUGACCGAGCAAAGGAAAUUAAGACACACGUCCAGAAAAACAUUGGAGCGGUAGACACCCAUGUAUCAGACUACCAACGGAUGAUCGAUAGUCUUCAGACUGAGGUUUGUCAAUUGAAAAAGAAACUUGCUGAAAAGGAAUCCCAGCUCAGUAGUAAACCUGUGGAAAAAGCAGCAGAUGAUGAGUUGUCUUGGUUGGAUAUCGUAAGUCAUGAAAUAAGCGAGAACGUUCAGGAAAGAAUAAACUUACAGAAGGCUAUGUCAGAGCUAGAAGAAACCAACCUUAAUAAUCGCUCAGAACUUCAACGACUUGAUGACAUUAUUGCAAGACAUCAGGCUAUUGAAAUGGAUGGAGCAAUCGUAGAGGAUUUGAUUUCCCGACGGCUAGUGAUUUUAGAUAACAUUCGUGACAAUGAUGAAGCAGGAAUUAAUUAUCAGAAGGAAAUUGAAGCAAAUGAAAAGCAUCGGUGUCAACUUCAAGGCAUGAUUGACGAUGCUGUUAGUAGAAAUGGGAACAAAACCUAUUUGCAGAUACUUAGUCAGUAUAGACUGCUGGGAAUGGCUAAUUCCGAGCUUCAGUUAGAGAUGGCAAUGAGAGAUCAAGUCAUUCACAAUCAGCGAGAAUCUCUGAAAAACUUGUGGAACCUGCUCAUGGGACUGGGACUUGACGAGAAACAGAUAUUUCACCUUGCAGCCAAGCAGGGUUUGACAAUUGAAGGCUGGACAAUGACUUCUUCUCUGGGGCUUCUUGAAAAGCAGUCAGCCAAUCUCUCUUCUAGUAGAUCUACAUCAGUUGGCCCAUCUUCUGGAAUAGAGGAGGGAAACCAGAACUGUGACUUUCCAUGUCCCGACUUCUCACCACCAGCAUAUUUAAGGGGGAGGAAUGUCGAUGCAAAGCCAACUAUGUCGUUUGGUUCUCCUGAAAAGUAUCCUCAAGAUCUUUACAAGUCGUAUCUGGAUAUGACAAGUCAUGCUUCUCAUGGUGGGAGCUGCAUGUCAUCAUCAUCUGUAGUUGGGGAUUUAUCGAGCAGCAGAAGAGAUCAAAUUGGAUUAUUUUUCACUCAUUGAGAGCCUUUCUGAUGACGCUUACCAAAGCCUCGCUUCUUCUGGUCAUCCUUCUUUUCAUGGGGACGAAGGCAUAUAGCAACAUCUAUUACUAGAAAAUCAUCAAGCAACCCAAGAAAUGAAUACAUCCCAGCCCAUUCACGUGGCUUUAAAAUAAGCUUCAUGAAUUGCUGUUGAAAACAAGCUCUUGGAUCUGGCAUGCUUUGCUCCAUUUUCUGCUAGCCGGUAAGGGUGCCCAUUGGUUUUGCUUUAACAACCCUGAUCAUGGAGGCUAGACCUCGGCUGUUUUGUAGGACAAAGAACUGAUGACAUUACAUUUUUUUUUUUUUUUUUAUAAAAGUCAACUGUAAAUGUGGAGACUUGCAGCAUCUUGUGAUGAAGCGAUAUGCUUGAUAUGCUUGUUAUUGACUCGUAAAUUUCUUUUUCCUCUUCCAUUAGUCAAUAGCACCAACAUAGCUAAGUAAUAUGGGUGCUAUUUUGCCUGUAUAUAUACUAUUGAUGUAAAUACUCUUGGACGGUAUGACAUUUUUUUGAAUUGUAAAGUGAUUUACUUAAUUUUAAUUUUUA
This is an RNA transcript of Cucumis melo (muskmelon), 3308 nucleotides long. It is a transcript of the gene named kinesin-like protein KIN-8B, with no coding region annotated. The record is from RefSeq and is a predicted model, not a curated record. Lineage: Eukaryota; Viridiplantae; Streptophyta; Magnoliopsida; Cucurbitales; Cucurbitaceae. The transcript has 18 exons.